UUUUUGUAAUUAAUAUAAAGUCUAAUCUGCCCCCUGAUAAAUUAUUAAAGGGCUGCAGUAUUUUGACUGUACAAAGGUAGCAUAAUCAUUUGUCUCUUAAUUGGUGACUUGUAUGAAAGAUUGGAUGAAAUAUAAACUGUCUCCUUAUAAUAAGUAAAAUUUAAUUUUUUAGUAAAAAAGCUAAAAUAAUUUUAAAAGACGAGAAGACCCUAUAGAGUUUAAUAAUUAUUUUUGUAUAAAAUAAAAUAUAAAAAUUUAAAUUUAAAUGAAAAUAAUUAUUUUGUUGGGGUGAUAGAAAAAUUAAAUUAACUUUUUUUAAUAGAUAUACAUUAAUAAGUGAUUAAAUGAUCCAUUAAUAAUGAUUAUAAGAAAAAAUUACCUUAGGGAUAACAGCGUAAUUUUUUUUUUUAGGCCAAAUAAGAAAAAGAGUUUGCGACCUCGAUGUUGGAUUAAGAUAAAAUUUAAAUGUAAAAGUUUAAAGUUUUGAUCUGUUCGAUCAUUAAAA
Molecule: ribosomal RNA, 505 nt
Filed under: Troides haliphron purabu
Lineage: Eukaryota; Metazoa; Arthropoda; Insecta; Lepidoptera; Papilionidae
Also listed under: 1 other name
Description: partial 16S ribosomal RNA
Source: RNAcentral